This 327-nucleotide ribosomal RNA is filed under the name uncultured eukaryote. RNAcentral describes it as "partial 18S ribosomal RNA". It matches the Rfam family "Eukaryotic small subunit ribosomal RNA", at positions 1470 to 1796 of the family's 1831-position model. The record is from RNAcentral.
CCCCUAGAUGUUCUGGGCCGCACGCGCGCUACACUGAACAGUUCAACAAGUCUUAACCUUGGCCGAUAGGUCUGGGUAAUCUUUGAACGUGAAUCGUGAUGGGGAUAGAUGAUUGCAAUUAUUCAUCUUCAACGAGGAAUUCCUAGUAAACGCAAGUCAUCAGCUUGCAUUGAUUACGUCCCUGCCCUUUGUACACACCGCCCGUCGCACCUACCGAUUGAAUGGUCCGGUGAAAUCUUCGGAUCUGAGAGAUGUCUGAUUAAUUUCGGACGCCUUUUGGAAAAGUUGUUUAAACCUUACCAUUUAGAGGAAGGUGAAGUCGUANCA